GAUGAACGCUAGCUACAGGCUUAACACAUGCAAGUCGAGGGGCAGCACGAAGAUAGCUUGCUAUCUUGGGUGGCGACCGGCGCACGGGUGAGUAACGCGUAUCCAACCUGCCCAUUACUCAGGGAUAGCCUUGCGAAAGUAAGAUUAAUACCUGAUGUUGUUUGAUUGCCGCAUGACGGUCAAACCAAAGAUUUAUUGGUAAUGGAUGGGGAUGCGUGACAUUAGGUAGUAGGUGAGGUAACGGCUCACCUAGCCGACGAUGUCUAGGGGUUCUGAGAGGAAGGUCCCCCACACUGGAACUGAGACACGGUCCAG
RNAcentral lists this ribosomal RNA (315 nucleotides) under uncultured bacterium. RNAcentral describes it as "bacterial SSU rRNA". It matches the Rfam family "Bacterial small subunit ribosomal RNA", at positions 28 to 334 of the family's 1533-position model. The record is from RNAcentral.